RNAcentral lists this ribosomal RNA (488 nucleotides) under uncultured bacterium. RNAcentral's name for it is "bacterial SSU rRNA". It matches the Rfam family "Bacterial small subunit ribosomal RNA", at positions 28 to 534 of the family's 1533-position model. The record is from RNAcentral.
GAUGAACGUUGGCGGCGUGCCUAAUACAUGCAGGUCGAACGAAGACUGUAGUAAUACUGUCUUAGUGGCGAACGGGUGAGUAACGCGUGGGUGACCUGCCCCGAAGUGUGGGAUAACAGUCCGAAAGGAUUGCUAAUACUGCAUAAUAUCCAAGAGAUUAGACGCUUUCGGAUUAAAGGAGUAAUUCGCUUCGGGAGGGGCCCGCGUCCCAUCAGCUAGUUGGUAAGGUAAUGGCUUACCAAGGCGAUGACGGGUAGGGGACCUGAGAGGGUGGCCCCCCACAAUGGAACUGAAACACGGUCCAUACACCUACGGGUGGCAGCAGUAGGGAAUAUUAGUAAUGGGCGAAAGCCUGAACUAGCAACGCCGCGUGUGCGAAGAAGGCCUUGGGUCGUAAAGCACUUUUUGAGAGGAUGAGGAAGGACGGUACUCUCAGAAUAAGUCUCGGCUAACUACGUGCCAGCAGCCGUACGGUAAAAGUCACGUCG